CAGUCGAACGGAAGUAAAGAAGGGAAGGGGCAGUUUACUGCCGCGGAACAUUUUUUACUUUAGUGGCGGACGGGUGAGUAACGCGUGGGUAACCUGCCUUAUACAGGGGGAUAACACUUAGAAAUAGGUGCUAAGACCGCAUAAGCGCCCAGGGCCGCAUGGCCCAGGGUGAAAAACUCCGGUGGUAUAAGAUGGGCCCGCGUCUGAUUAGCCAGUUGGCAGGGUAACGGCCUACCAAAGCGACGAUCAGUAGCCGGCCUGAGAGGGUGGACGGCCACAUUGGGACUGAGACACGGCCCAAACUCCUACGGGAGGCAGCAGUGGGGGAUAUUGCACAAUGGGGGAAACCCUGAUGCAGCGACGCCGCGUGAGUGAAGAAGUAUUUCGGUAUGUAAAGCUCUAUCAGCAGGGAAGAAAGAAGACGGUACCUGAGUAAGAAGCCCCGGCUAACUACGUGCCAGCAGCCGCGGUAAUACGUAGGGGGCAAGCGUUAUCCGGAUUUACUGGGUGUAAAGGGAGCGUAGACGGCAAGGCAAGCCUGGAGUGAAAGGCGGGGGCCCAACCCCCGGACUGCUCUGGGAACUGUCUAGCUAGAGUGCAGGAGGGGUAAGUGGAAUUCCUAGUGUAGCGGUGAAAUGCGUAGAUAUUAGGAGGAACACCAGUGGCGAAGGCGGCUUACUGGACUGUAACUGACGUUGAGGCUCGAAAGCGUGGGGAGCAAACAGGAUUAGAUACCCUGGUAGUCCACGCCGUANACGAUGAUCACUAGNUGUCGGGUGUUAAGGAACGCUCGGUGCCGCAGNCAACGCAAUAAGUGNUCCACCUGGGGAGUACGUUCGCAAGAAUGAAACUCAAAGGAAUUGACGGGGA
This 870-nucleotide ribosomal RNA is filed under the name uncultured bacterium. RNAcentral's name for it is "bacterial SSU rRNA". It matches the Rfam family "Bacterial small subunit ribosomal RNA", at positions 59 to 919 of the family's 1533-position model. The record is from RNAcentral.